RNAcentral lists this ribosomal RNA (497 nucleotides) under uncultured bacterium. RNAcentral describes it as "partial 16S ribosomal RNA". It matches the Rfam family "Bacterial small subunit ribosomal RNA", at positions 28 to 507 of the family's 1533-position model. The record is from RNAcentral.
GAUGAACGCUGGCGGCGUGCCUAAUACAUGCAAGUCGAGCGAACAGACGAGGAGCUUGCUCCUCUGACGUUAGCGGCGGACGGGUGAGUAACACGUGGAUAACCUACCUAUAAGACUGGGAUAACUUCGGGAAACCGGAGCUUAUACCGGAUAAUAUAUUGAACCGCAUGGUUCAAUAGUGAAAGACGGUUUUGCUGUUACUUAUAGAUGGAUCCGCGCCGCAUUAGCUAGUUGGUAAGGUAACGGCUUACCAAGGCAACGAUGCGUAGCCGACCUGAGAGGGUGAUCGGCCACACUGGAACUGAGACACGGUCCAGACUCCUACGGGAGGCAGCAGUAGGGAAUCUUCCGCAAUGGGCGAAAGCCUGACGGAGCAACGCCGCGUGAGUGAUGAAGGUUUUCGGAUCGUAAAACUCUGUUAUUAGGGAAGAACAAAUGUGUAAGUAACUAUGCACGUCUUGACGGUACCUAAUCAGAAAGCCACGGCUAACUACGUG